RNAcentral lists this ribosomal RNA (2903 nucleotides) under Proteus mirabilis. RNAcentral's name for it is "23S ribosomal RNA". It matches the Rfam family "Bacterial large subunit ribosomal RNA". The record is from RNAcentral. Lineage: Bacteria; Pseudomonadati; Pseudomonadota; Gammaproteobacteria; Enterobacterales; Morganellaceae.
GGUUAAGCGAAUAAGCGUACACGGUGGAUGCCUAGGCAAUCAGAGGCGAUGAAGGACGUGCUAAUCUGCGAAAAGCGUCGGUAAGGUGAUAUGAACCGUUAUACCCGACGAUAUCCGAAUGGGGAAACCCAGUAUCCAAUGGAUACUAUCAUUAACUGAAUCCAUAGGUUAAUGAGGCGAACCGGGAGAACUGAAACAUCUCAGUACCCCGAGGAAAAGAAAUCAACCGAGAUUCCCCUAGUAGCGGCGAGCGAACGGGGAGCAGCCCAGAGUCUUAAUCAAUAACAGUGUCAGGAGAACGGUCUGGAAAGUCCGGCAGUAAAGGGUGAUAGCCCCGUAUCUGAAGAUGCUGUUAUUGUGAACUCGACGAGUAGGGCGGGACACGUGUUAUCCUGUCUGAAUAUGGGGGGACCAUCCUCCAAGGCUAAAUACUCCUGAUUGACCGAUAGUGAACCAGUACCGUGAGGGAAAGGCGAAAAGAACCCCGGCGAGGGGAGUGAAAAAGAACCUGAAACCGUGUACGUACAAGCAGUAGGAGCCUCUUUAUGGGGUGACUGCGUACCUUUUGUAUAAUGGGUCAGCGACUUAUAUUCUGUAGCAAGGUUAACCGUAUAGGGGAGCCGUAGGGAAACCGAGUCUUAACUGGGCGAAUGAGUUGCAGGGUAUAGACCCGAAACCCGGUGAUCUAUCCAUGGGCAGGUUGAAGGUUGGGUAACACUAACUGGAGGACCGAACCGACUAAUGUUGAAAAAUUAGCGGAUGACUUGUGGAUGGGGGUGAAAGGCCAAUCAAACCGGGAGAUAGCUGGUUCUCCCCGAAAGCUAUUUAGGUAGCGCCUCGUGAACUCAUCUUCGGGGGUAGAGCACUGUUUCGACUAGGGGGUCAUCCCGACUUACCAACUCGAUGCAAACUGCGAAUACCGAAGAAUGUUAUCACGGGAGACACACGGCGGGUGCUAACGUCCGUCGUGAAGAGGGAAACAACCCAGACCGCCAGCUAAGGUCCCAAAGUCAUGGUUAAGUGGGAAACGAAGUGGGAAGGCUCAGACAGCCAGGAUGUUGGCUUAGAAGCAGCCAUCAUUUAAAGAAAGCGUAAUAGCUCACUGGUCGAGUCGGCCCGCGCGGAAGAUGUAACGGGGCUAAACCAUGCACCGAAGCUGCGGCAGCGACACAAAGUGUUGUUGGGUAGGGGAGCGUUCUGUAAGCCUGCGAAGGUGUACUGUGAGGUAUGCUGGAGGUAUCAGAAGUGCGAAUGCUGACAUAAGUAACGAUAAUGCGGGUGAAAAACCCGCACGCCGGAAGACCAAGGGUUCCUGUCCAACGUUAAUCGGGGCAGGGUGAGUCGACCCCUAAGGCGAGGCUGAAAAGCGUAGUCGAUGGGAAACGGGUUAAUAUUCCCGUACUGGUGGUAACUGCGAUGGGGGAACGGAGAAGGCUAGGUUGUCCGGGCGACGGUCGUCCCGGUUCAAGCAGGUAGGCAGAGUGAUUAGGCAAAUCCGGUCACUUAAUGCUGAGAUGUGAUGACGAACCACUAAGGUGGUGAAGCAAUUGAUGCCCCGCUUCCAGGAAAAGCCUCUAAGCUUCAGGUUACCAACAAUCGUACCCCAAACCGACACAGGUGGUCAGGUAGAGAAUACUCAGGCGCUUGAGAGAACUCGGGUGAAGGAACUAGGCAAAAUGGUGCCGUAACUUCGGGAGAAGGCACGCUGGCGGUAGGUAAAGUCCCUCGCGGACGGCGCUGAAGCCAGUCGAAGAUACCAGCUGGCUGCAACUGUUUAUUAAAAACACAGCACUGUGCAAACACGAAAGUGGACGUAUACGGUGUGACGCCUGCCCGGUGCUGGAAGGUUAAUUGAUGGGGUCAGCCGCAAGGCGAAGCUCCUGAUCGAAGCCCCAGUAAACGGCGGCCGUAACUAUAACGGUCCUAAGGUAGCGAAAUUCCUUGUCGGGUAAGUUCCGACCUGCACGAAUGGCGUAAUGAUGGCCAGGCUGUCUCCACCCGAGACUCAGUGAAAUUGAACUCGCUGUGAAGAUGCAGUGUACCCGCGGCAAGACGGAAAGACCCCGUGAACCUUUACUAUAGCUUGACACUGAACAUUGAGCCUUGAUGUGUAGGAUAGGUGGGAGGCUUUGAAGUGUGGACGCCAGUCUGCAUGGAGCCAACCUUGAAAUACCACCCUUUAACGUUUGAUGUUCUAACCUAGGCCCAUAAACUGGGUCGGGGACCGUGUCUGGUGGGUAGUUUGACUGGGGCGGUCUCCUCCUAAAGAGUAACGGAGGAGCACGAAGGUUGGCUAAGCAUGGUCGGACAUCAUGCGGUUAGUGCAAAGGCAUAAGCCAGCUUGACUGCGAGAGUGACGGCUCGAGCAGGUACGAAAGUAGGUCUUAGUGAUCCGGUGGUUCUGAAUGGAAGGGCCAUCGCUCAACGGAUAAAAGGUACUCCGGGGAUAACAGGCUGAUACCGCCCAAGAGUUCAUAUCGACGGCGGUGUUUGGCACCUCGAUGUCGGCUCAUCACAUCCUGGGGCUGAAGUAGGUCCCAAGGGUAUGGCUGUUCGCCAUUUAAAGUGGUACGCGAGCUGGGUUUAGAACGUCGUGAGACAGUUCGGUCCCUAUCUGCCGUGGGCGUUGGAAGAUUGAGAGGGGUUGCUCCUAGUACGAGAGGACCGGAGUGAACGCACCACUGGUGUUCGGGUUGUCAUGCCAAUGGCAUUGCCCGGUAGCUAAGUGCGGAAGAGAUAACCGCUGAAAGCAUCUAAGCGGGAAACUUGCCUCGAGAUGAGUCUUCCCUGUCGCUUUAAGUGACCUAAAGGAACGUUUAAGACUAAGACGUUGAUAGUCUGGGUGUGUAAGCGUAGCGAUACGUUGAGCUAACCAGUACUAAUGAACCGUGAGGCUUAACCUG